UACGGUGGGGGCAAGCGUUGUUCGGAAUUACUGGGCGUAAAGGGCUCGUAGGCGGCCAACUAAGUCAGACGUGAAAUCCCCAGGCUCAACCUGGGAACUGCGUCUGAUACUGGAUGGCUUGAAUCCGGGAGAGGGAUGCAGAAUUCCGGGUGUAGUGGUGGAAUGCGUAGAGAUCCGGAGGAACACCAGCGGCGAAGGCGGCAUCCUGGACUGGUCCUGACACUCAGGAGCGAAAGCGUGGGGAGCGAUCCGG
This 253-nucleotide ribosomal RNA is filed under the name uncultured bacterium. RNAcentral describes it as "partial 16S ribosomal RNA". It matches the Rfam family "Bacterial small subunit ribosomal RNA", at positions 524 to 776 of the family's 1533-position model. The record is from RNAcentral.